Haplochromis burtoni (Burton's mouthbrooder) is the source of this 2125-nucleotide long non-coding RNA. RefSeq lists it as uncharacterized. Lineage: Eukaryota; Metazoa; Chordata; Actinopteri; Cichliformes; Cichlidae. The transcript has 3 exons. The record is from RefSeq and is a predicted model, not a curated record.
UCUCUACCGGCCGCGCCAGGAACCUCCGCCACAGGAAUUUGUAGUGCCGGUGGGGAAGAGCUAGCUAGCCUAGCUGAACAGGUGGAAAAUGGAGCUGGAGCGCCCUCAGACGGAGUUCCCUGAUUUCACCCCCAUAAGCUAAUAUUAACAGAAGGUCUGUCUCAAAAGCUCCCUGAUCCCUUGUGGUCCCUGCAGGCUUGUUAAGUCAUUUUUCUACAAUUGUCAACCCCCAACUAAUUGAUCAUGCAUGAGGAUUUGCAACCACAUUGCAUUUUUGCCAUGGACCGACACACAUCACAUUAACAUUACCCCAGUGAUGUGAACACAAACAGACACUUUAGGGAUACAGAUCUGGCACCCUCUGUAUCUACAGGAAGUCAAGGAAGAUGAAUCCAAAAUGCGAGAACUGAAAGAAAAACAUUCCAACAGAUGUUUUUGUCUUAAAAAACAAAUAAACUCGGGCUAAUGUGACUCUGGUCUCAUGGUCCAGUCGUUUCUAUUGUACUUUACAGCAUUGAACAGCCAGAGAAAAACAUCUUUCACUCUCUAUAAAGUCCAGACAGAAUUUCACUGAUAAAAUGAGGAAAAGCAGGCGAUUCCUCCUAAAAAUGAACCUGUCAGUGUGUGAAACCCUUAUAUCUCCGUCUAGUGGUGGAGAACGGAAAUUACAGAUGAGUCACAGUUGGCCUGAAUGACCUCUUGUUUAUGUUUCUCCACUUGUAUGUUUUCAUCUUCACGUCAUGAUGUGUAUUAAUAGUAAAUACAUAAGCGUGAACUUAAAUAAAAGUAGUAAAAUAUGUGUUCAAGUGUAUUUUUCACUGUUUUCUUCCCGCAGUGCGAGUCUUCUGCAUGUGUGUUUGUUAGCAUGUGUAUUGUUGUGUGUCUGUGCUGCAUGCAGAGUCCAGCUGCACUGUGAAUGUGCCAAAAGUACACAAAGUCCUCGACACAACAGCAUGACCAAACACUUCAGCUGCAGAGCUCCACCUUGGCUUCUAACUUUAACGUCAGCCACAAACAUUUCACACAGAAACCUCUCUGUUGCUUACGUGCCUACUCAUGAAACAUCUAAAAAAUGAAAGCUAACAUCAAACAGUCUGAUCUCAUUAUCCACGCCUGCAUUUUUGUGUAAAUUACUUCCUAAUAAUGCAGCUGAGCGCCCUUAAUAACCAGCUGAGAGAUUAAAUCAAAUCUAUUGUGAGUGACUUGGAUUUAAGUUAAGACUCUUUACAGGGUCUGACCUUUGCUCUACUGUUUUGACUUUCACAAAUAAGCAAAUUCAAUCAUAGAUAAAAAUGCAUUUAAAAGAUUAUAACAACAAAGCUUGAGUAUAAACUCUUAACUGGUUCAAGUGUAAUCGGUGAUGUCUGUCAUCAGAUGUUUCCAAUCAUGCAAUGAGAAAAUAUGAAUGGCAUGAGAAGCAGUUUAAUGCAUCUAAUUUGGGUAAGUGCUUUAGCUUUGAUCCAAAUACUUGUAGAUUCAUGCUAGUAACCACUUUAGCUUACCUCUUAUUAAUUUAUAAAGACUGUUAGUCCAAAAUGUGAUUAUUUAAAAUUGUCCUGGUUUUCUUAUGUUUCAGUUUCAUUGUAACAUAAAAUUUAAAAAAGAACAGAUUUAAAUGUGUCCAUAAUAUUUUUCUGUAAAUGAAUAGAUUUAGUGUCUUAAUUGAAAACACAUUUAACACUCUGCUGUAAAAAUCUUUGUUGGUUCUGAACCUUUAGCCCCAUAAGACGAGAAAUUAAUCCCAGGAUAUGACACUGCUAAAAACGUCUGUCAAGUUUAUUUUUAGUUUUAUAUUCAGUUGAUUUCCAGACCAGCAGGUAUCUUACAGUACAUGUCAUCACAGAUCUAUCACAAUCACACUCUAAAACACAUUUUGUCUUUAGAAACCAUACAUUACGAGCUCUUGGUGCAUCUUAAAGUAUACCCUUCUUUGCUGCCCAUUUUACUCUAAAUUAACCCAUCACUGACAAAAUGAACAUCAUGUUGUAAUAAACAUGACUUUAAACUGGUGACUGAGACCAUAAAUUUAACAGAAAAAUGUUUACUGUGGUCACAGAAUAAGAUAGAAAUAGAACUAGUUUCCGCUAUAUUUCUGUACAGUUUGACCUCUCUUUGCAGCCAGGUG